Long non-coding RNA from Haliotis rufescens (red abalone), 1289 nucleotides. RefSeq lists it as uncharacterized. NCBI's taxonomy places the organism in Eukaryota, Metazoa, Mollusca, Gastropoda, Lepetellida, Haliotidae. The record is from RefSeq and is a predicted model, not a curated record. The transcript is spliced from 2 exons.
UUUAUGACUGUAUUCAUACAAUCUAGACCAUCUAUUAGCCAUUCCAGAAUGUUCUUUUGUUCAGUUUUUAAUUUUUUAAGCAAGUAUAUGGCAAAAUAUGUUUCAAAGCGUAGUCGCCAGUUUGAACCUCGUGCUGUAAAGCUUGAUUAAUCUGCCUUCUGAUUGGCUAAUGUUGACUUCUUAUCAGUCAUUCCAUUGGUCAAUCAAAGUUCGCGAAAAGUCGGUCUGUCGUGACCCGUAAUGGGAUGUCCUCAGAUCUUUGUUUGGCAGUAGCGAGAACUAAGAUCUGAUUUUAAUGAGAUUGUGUAUAGAUGUAUCUGGGUUAUACCUAGGGAUUAUACACAGGAGUUAAUAUACUUUGGGGUAACGUUUUAUGUGGACUAGGUAUAUGUAGGGGAAAGUUAGGACAGGGGCAGCAAGGCUAUAUUGGGGCGUCUAAAUACUACUUUGGGGAAACUAGGUUAUUUUGGGGGGCAAGUGGGAAGUAUGUAGGGAUAAACAGGUUACACGUAGCUAGGGAUAAACAGGUUACAUGUAGUUAAGGAUAAACAGGUUACACGUAGCUAGGGAUAAACAGGUUACACGUAGCUAGGGAUAAACAGUUUACAUGUAGUUAUGGAUAGACAGGUUACAGGUAGCUAGAGAUAAAGAGGUUACACGUAGCUAGUGAUAAACAGGUUACAUGUAGUUAUGGAUAGACAGGUUACAUGUAGCUAGAGAUAAACAGGUUACAUGUAGCUAGGGAUAAACAGGUUACACAUAGCUAGGGAUAAACAGGUUACAUGGAGCUAGGGAUAAACAGGUUACAUGUAGUUAUGGAUAGACAGGUUACAUGUAGCUAGAGAUAAACAGGUUACAUGUAGCUAGGGAUAAACAGGUUACACAUAGCUAGGGAUAAACAGGUUACAUGGAGCUAGGGAUAAACAGGUUACACGUAGCUAGGGAUAAACAGGUUAAAUGUAGCUAGGGGCAGCUUGGGUGUACACUUGAUGUUUGUGGGAAACAGUUGUCCUGGAUACCUGAGUUCAGACAGGUUGUCAUGGUGGACAUAUGGAGAAAGUGGAUGUUUCAGAAGGGAUGCUGGCCCUGGGGACAACCCUAGAGAAUGUGUGUCUGUACAUGGGUGGUUGACCUGGGAAAUAAGAAUGUGUGCCUGUACCACGUGGCUCUAUGAUUGGUUGACCAGGGUGAUGUCAUAUGAUAUAGGAUGCGCUGCAACAUGAUAAAACAUUCUUGUGGUAUUGACGUCAUGUACGAAACCCUAUUUGUUAAUAAAUGUUAUCAUGAUA